UGCGGGGUCGUCUAAUGGUAGGACACAGCGCUCUGGACGCUGGUAUCUAGGUUCGAAUCCUAGCCCCGCAG
This 71-nucleotide transfer RNA is filed under the name Pseudomonadota bacterium. Its description in RNAcentral is "tRNA-Gln". It matches the Rfam family "tRNA". From Rfam's summary of the family: Transfer RNA (tRNA) molecules are approximately 80 nucleotides in length. Their secondary structure includes four short double-helical elements and three loops (D, anti-codon, and T loops). RNAcentral also lists the same sequence under 4 other names. Lineage: Bacteria; Pseudomonadati; Pseudomonadota. The record is from RNAcentral.